RNAcentral lists this unclassified non-coding RNA (29 nucleotides) under Mus musculus (house mouse). Its description in RNAcentral is "oocyte_clustered_small_RNA4334". The record is from RNAcentral. Lineage: Eukaryota; Metazoa; Chordata; Mammalia; Rodentia; Muridae.
UAUCCCAUGCUGGAUUUCCUGCAACAGCG